Xenia sp. Carnegie-2017 is the source of this 97-nucleotide long non-coding RNA. RefSeq lists it as uncharacterized. NCBI's taxonomy places the organism in Eukaryota, Metazoa, Cnidaria, Anthozoa, Malacalcyonacea, Xeniidae. The record is from RefSeq and is a predicted model, not a curated record. The transcript is spliced from 3 exons.
AAGCAGUUGGUAUCAACGCAGCUUACAGUAACGAAAGAGUAGAGAGCGAUAAGAACGGCGAAGAAGAACAAGUGCUUCGUCCAACUGAUCGACCACA